CGAACGGGUGAGUAACGCGUGAGGAACCUGCCUCAAAGAGGGGGACAACAGUUGGAAACGACUGCUAAUACCGCAUAAGCCCACGGGUCGGCAUCGACCUGAGGGAAAAGGAGCAAUCCGCUUUGAGAUGGCCUCGCGUCCGAUUAGCUAGUUGGUGAGGUAACGGCCCACCAAGGCGACGAUCAGUAGCCGGACUGAGAGGUUGAACGGCCACAUUGGGACUGAGACACGGCCCAG
This 237-nucleotide ribosomal RNA is filed under the name uncultured bacterium. Its description in RNAcentral is "partial 16S ribosomal RNA". It matches the Rfam family "Bacterial small subunit ribosomal RNA", at positions 99 to 334 of the family's 1533-position model. The record is from RNAcentral.